AGAGUUUGAUCCUGGCUUAGGAUGAACGCUAGCGGCAGGCCUAACACAUGCAAGUCGAGGGGCAGCAUUGGAGUAGCAAUACUCAGAUGGCGACCGGCGCACGGGUGAGUAACACGUAUCCAACCUGCCGCUUACUCGGGGAUAGCCUUUCGAAAGAAAGAUUAAUACCCGAUGGUAUAAAGAGUUCGCAUGUUCUCUUUAUUAAAGAAUUUCGGUAAGCGAUGGGGAUGCGUUCCAUUAGAUUGUUGGCGGGGUAACGGCCCACCAAGUCUACGAUGGAUAGGGGUUCUGAGAGGAAGGUCCCCCACAUUGGAACUGAGACACGGUCCAAACUCCUACGGGAGGCAGCAGUGAGGAAUAUUGGUCAAUGGACGAGAGUCUGAACCAGCCAAAGUAGCGUGAAGGAUGACUGCCCUAUGGGUUGUAAACUUCUUUUAUAAGGGAAUAAAGUGAGGGACGUGUCCCUUUUUGUAUGUACCUUAUGAAUAAGGAUCGGCUAACUCCGUGCCAGCCGCGGC
RNAcentral lists this ribosomal RNA (518 nucleotides) under uncultured bacterium. RNAcentral describes it as "bacterial SSU rRNA". It matches the Rfam family "Bacterial small subunit ribosomal RNA", at positions 8 to 518 of the family's 1533-position model. The record is from RNAcentral.